Molecule: ribosomal RNA, 72 nt
Filed under: Salmonella enterica subsp. enterica serovar Schwarzengrund
Lineage: Bacteria; Pseudomonadati; Pseudomonadota; Gammaproteobacteria; Enterobacterales; Enterobacteriaceae
Description: partial 23S ribosomal RNA
Source: RNAcentral
UGUGUAAGCGCAGCGAGGCGGUGAGCUAACCGGUACUCAUGAACCGUGAGGCUUAACCUUACAACGCCGAAG